AUGCUGGGUUAUUUGUUUAACCCAACAGCUGGGUUGAGCCUGUUGGGUCAUUUUGUUGGGUUAUUUUCUUAGUGUUGGGUCAUUUUUUGAGUAACCCAAACGCUGGGUUACCAGUCUGGUCCAAUUGAGUGACAGUUGAGAGAGUAAACCCCUCCCACUCCUCUACGCAUCAGACAAACUUUACCUUCGCGGGCAUUUUGAUCCACUUCAUCUCGGAAAGCUGUUAUUCGGAGAAUAAAAGGUUGCAGAAUAACAGCUAAUAUUAAUGGAUCAUUCUAUUCAAGAGAAUGUCAACUGGAACUUGGAUGUUUUCAUAACAGGCUUAAAGAUGAACAAAUUGAUAAAGAAACCCUCCUGCUGGACAUCCACUUCCAAAAGUGCACGCCACACUGUUGUCUACAACUCCCAGGAAAAGAAUCCUCUUCAGUAAGACUGCUCCGUGGAUAUUUUAGGUUAAGCAGUGCUGAAACCGAAAGAACUAACACUAUUUAAAAUGUUUUGUGAGUUUAUAUGAAGAGGAAAGUUACCUUUUUCACAUCCAUAACGCUUAUUUAUUUCUUUUUUUAUAGAAAACUUGUGCAUAGACUGAUAUUUUAACAUAUA
This is a long non-coding RNA of Triplophysa dalaica, 603 nucleotides long. RefSeq lists it as uncharacterized. The transcript has 3 exons. The record is from RefSeq and is a predicted model, not a curated record. NCBI's taxonomy places the organism in Eukaryota, Metazoa, Chordata, Actinopteri, Cypriniformes, Nemacheilidae.